This 253-nucleotide ribosomal RNA is filed under the name uncultured bacterium. Its description in RNAcentral is "partial 16S ribosomal RNA". It matches the Rfam family "Bacterial small subunit ribosomal RNA", at positions 524 to 776 of the family's 1533-position model. The record is from RNAcentral.
UACGUAGGUGGCGAGCGUUGUCCGGAUUUACUGGGCGGAAAGGAUGCGUAGGCGGAUAUUUAAGUGAGAUGUGAAAUACCCGAGCUUAACUUGGGUGCUGCAUUUCAAACUGGAUAUCUAGAGUGUGGGAGAGGAGAAUGGAAUUCCUAGUGUAGCGGUGAAAUGCGUAGAGAUUAGGAAGAACACCAGUGGCGAAGGCGAUUCUCUGGACCAUAACUGACGCUGAGGCAUGAAAGCGUGGGUAGCAAACAGG